GGAGACGUGGUUGUGCACCCAUGAAACUGACCUUGUUUGGGAGUCAUGGACAUAUGCAUGAUAUUUAAAGCCAUGAGAUUGGAUGAGAUCAUCAAAGGAAUGAGAUCAUCAAAGGAUGGAGAAGAGGACCAGCUACUUCUGCACGGUUGCCAAUGGAAACCAGAUAACUGGACUCUGACUGAAGCAGACAUGCCACCUUACGUCUUCCAUGAGAAGGACCGUAGGUUUCUGGCACAGUCCAAGUGUCCAGAGGAUUGUCAACACUCGUAUCAAUGGGCCCGUAGCUCCUGGAUUCCAGGGAAGGCAUCACUCCUCGUGGCUCUUACCCUCCUCCUGGGGUCAGCAGAAAGGCUGGAGCAGCUCUUCUCACAGAAGGGUCAAGAGGUCAAGUGGAGGCGUGAGAAGCAUCUUCGGGCCUAUGCUUGA
RNAcentral lists this long non-coding RNA (426 nucleotides) under Sus scrofa (pig). RNAcentral's name for it is "lncRNA (ENSSSCG00005011053.1)". Lineage: Eukaryota; Metazoa; Chordata; Mammalia; Artiodactyla; Suidae. The record is from RNAcentral.